CUUAACCCCGUGAUGNGAUGGAAACUGCCAAUCUAGAGUAUCGGAGAGGAAAGUGGAAUUCCUAGUGUAGCGGUGAAAUGCGUAGAUAUUAGGAAGAACACCAGUGGCGAAGGCGACUUUCUGGACGAAAACUGACGNUGAGGCGCGAGAGCCAGGGGAGCGAACGGGAUUAGAUACCCCGGUAGUCCUGGCCGUAANCGAUGGGUACUAGGUGUAGGAGGUAUCGACCCCUUCUGUGCCGGAGUUAACGCAAUAAGUACCCCGCCUGGGGAGUACGACCGCAAGGUUGAAACUCAAAGGAAUUGACGGGGGCCCGCACAAGCGGUGGAGUAUGUGGUUUAAUUCGACGCAACGCGAAGAACCUUACCAGGUCUUGACAUUGAUGGACAGAACCAGAGAUGGUUCCUCUUCUUCGGAAGCCAGAAAACAGGUGGUGCACGGUUGUCGUCAGCUCGUGUCGUGAGAUGUUGGGUUAAGUCCCGCAACGAGCGCAACCCCUAUCUUAUGUUGCCAGCACUUUGGGUGGGGACUCAUGAGAGACUGCCGCAGACAAUGCGGAGGAAGGCGGGGAUGACGUCAAAUCGUCAUGCCCCUUAUGACCUGGGCUACACACGUACUACAAUGGGAGUUAAUAGACGGAAGCGAGAUCGCGAGAUGGAGCAAACCCGAGAAACACUCUCUCAGUUCGGAUCGUAGGCUGCAACUCGCCUACGUGAAGUCGGAAUCGCUAGUAAUCGCAGGUCAGCAUACUGCGGUGAAUACGUUCCCGGGCCUUGUACACACCGCCCGUCACACCACGAAAGUCGGAAGUGCCCAAAGCCGGNGGGGUAACCUUCGGGAGCCAGCCGUCUAAGGUNAAGUCGAUGAUU
Molecule: ribosomal RNA, 869 nt
Filed under: uncultured bacterium
Lineage: Bacteria
Description: bacterial SSU rRNA
Rfam family: Bacterial small subunit ribosomal RNA
Source: RNAcentral